Molecule: transfer RNA, 72 nt
Filed under: Bos taurus (domestic cattle)
Lineage: Eukaryota; Metazoa; Chordata; Mammalia; Artiodactyla; Bovidae
Also listed under: 4 other names
Rfam family: tRNA
About the family: Transfer RNA (tRNA) molecules are approximately 80 nucleotides in length. Their secondary structure includes four short double-helical elements and three loops (D, anti-codon, and T loops).
Source: Rfam by way of RNAcentral
UCCUUGGUGGUCCAGUGGUUAGGGCUUAGUGCUUUCACCACCGAAGCCUAGGUUUAAUCCCUGGUGAGGGAA